Molecule: long non-coding RNA, 673 nt
Organism: Anolis carolinensis (green anole)
Lineage: Eukaryota; Metazoa; Chordata; Lepidosauria; Squamata; Anolidae
Exons: 2
Source: RefSeq, a predicted model, not a curated record
GCCAUGGGAAGUAACAGCCCAACUGAUCUUGAGCUCUUUGUUCACUAGAAAGUGGCAAGUGGAGGAAGACCAGCUUGACAGGGCAUAGCUUUGUUCAGCCUUUUUCAGAUACUGGACUAGAGGAGAAGUGGGUUGCACGUCCACCUGCCUAAAAGACUAAGGGAGACAGCUGUGGAAAUAUAAGGGCAGAUCUUUGCCAUGCCAGGAGGAUCUGUCUUGUGGCUAUCACUGCUCUUCCUAUGCAUCCUCUUCCCAAAGGACAAUGGCAUCAACUCUGAAAAAACAGAAGAAGACAUCCAAAAGAUGAAAGAGCCUGCAGGGAACCUGAGGAUGAAACAGCUUAAACUGCAACAGGAACCUGCUCCGCAGGAACCUCUGGGGAGCAAUGACGCUCCAGGGAAUUAAAAAAACACACACACUUGGGGGCAUGCUUCUGCAUUGUUGUCAUGUUUAGAACAGAGAUAGGCUAUGAGGAGGACUCCUCCUCCUUAAUUUCCAGCUAGAAAAAAGUAUGCACUUUGAAGAUAAGAUAUAUAGAACCACUUUAAUCCUGUCUGAGCUAGUUUGAAGAAGCAUGUGAGCCUAAAAGAGAUAAAAGUAUGAACUUAGUGUGACCUUUGUUCAUUUACAAAGAAAUUUCGACAUUCCCUUCUUGAAUAAAUUUUUGUUAUCA